CGGACCUCCUGACGCUCGGUGGAGCCUCGUGAUAUGUGCACCCCAAAUACUGGCUGAGCUCAAGGUUCAGACCACGCUCACCCCAUACCCUUUCCCGUACACUGCUUCCACCAAAAACUUAAAAGGUCCCAGCAUGAUUUCACUUUAAUUGAAUGGUUUCGCCCCGAAACUCAAAGGCACGCUUGGUGAAUUCACAACUGCCACCAGCAGAGGAAAAGGCCUGCAGAACCUGAGGCUAUCGAUUUCCCCCGCGUCCCAGACGUGGCUGUGCCCUUGGCUGGCAUCGGAUGUGACUCACAUCCCAGCGAAACAGCAGCGCAGCCAUGCCUGGUGUUCAAACACGGCUCCACGUGAGGACUGUAAAUUGGCCUUGAAGCCACAGGUUUCCCGACAACAGGAACAUCUGCCAGGGACGUGUGGAUGGGGACCGCUGCUCUCAUUUCCACAAAGAUCAUGGAUCAGGAAGACAAAUCACCCCUAAUGGGACCUCGGGGAGAGGCUCCGUUUUUAUUUCAAGUGAAAGGACGCACACGGAGGCCAACUUGUUCUGCGGGGCCAUAAAAUGCCACCUCCGCCAGUGACAGCGGUGCUCUCCAGCAGCAGCCAGCCUCCCUUCCCUCCGAGCAACCGCAUGUGCACAAGCACAUUUGUCAGGCUUCUGGCCAUAGCUUUGACUUUAAUUUUAUUUUUAAAGUGCAUUCACAUGCAAAUUGACUUGGCCUGGGAGGAUACGUGAACACAAGAGCCCUUUCUUUCCUUUGGAGUGGCAUUAGGAGGAACAUGGUGAAAAGAGCAAAGUUUCCUCACCUCCGGGCUGCAAUUCUGCAGCUAAGGAAAAGCGUGUUCAUUGUUUUCCUCUGCACACAGAUGCUGGCUGUGCUGUUUUCAGCAGUUUCGUUCAAGCGAGCCAUUUCAGAAUAUAAAAGCUUAUUGCAUAGCCAG
Long non-coding RNA from Oxyura jamaicensis (ruddy duck), 942 nucleotides. RefSeq lists it as uncharacterized. The transcript is spliced from 2 exons. The record is from RefSeq and is a predicted model, not a curated record. NCBI's taxonomy places the organism in Eukaryota, Metazoa, Chordata, Aves, Anseriformes, Anatidae.